Molecule: long non-coding RNA, 761 nt
Organism: Cyprinus carpio carpio
Lineage: Eukaryota; Metazoa; Chordata; Actinopteri; Cypriniformes; Cyprinidae
Source: Ensembl
AGUGCAUCCAGCUCUUUAAAGCAUCUCCGUGUCUGAGCGACCUGCCAGCAGGCUGUAGUGACUGCUCUGCACCGCCGCGUCUCCCUGGAUCUUCAGCCCUUUGUCAAAGGCAGGGGUCGCCGGGGUGCCGGACCCUGAGGAAACAGUAUCUCGUGCUUCCCCUCGAGCACUUCCUGUGCGUGUCACUCAAGAGCCGGGCUCGUGUCUCUGAUCAAAGGCCACGAACAGGAGCAGACGACAGGGUGACGCUGACACGUCUCGCGCUGAAGGAUGUCCUGAACGGGUGGGUGAACUGGGAAUAGCCCCUGCAUCCUCAGCCCAGUAACCCUGCAGCAGUGCUGACCGUCACCAUGGCAACUCAUGCCCAGGUCUAGUGGAAAGGAUUGAAGGCGAUAGUAUGGUCAGGGUCUGAUGUCCAGCACAGUCUCACUUCAUCACAUUAAUCCAGCCACGGAUACGGACACGUUUCACAUCCGUCCAACACAAUCACCAUCCUUGGCAAUUACAUUACAAGUGUAGAUUGCCUGGGAAACACAACAGUGUCUGUGCCGGCUGCUCUGUUCAGAGAUAACAGAGUGUCAUGAGAACAAUAGCGUCAUUGGGCUCCGGAUGGGACUGUGCAACUCAAUCCGCCUUUAAAUGGAGCGAGACAAAGUCGCAGCAUUCGGUUUCCAUCACAUCAGCAUUCAAAUGCUUUUGCAGUGCAUGAAGUUACCAGGGUGCAGCAGCCGUGCAGGAGCUUGUUUGACCGGCAACAGUUG